Molecule: ribosomal RNA, 119 nt
Filed under: Pteropus alecto (black flying fox)
Lineage: Eukaryota; Metazoa; Chordata; Mammalia; Chiroptera; Pteropodidae
Source: RNAcentral
GUCUACGGCCAUGACACCCUGAACGUGUCCGAUCUCGUCUGAUUUCGGAAGCUAAGUAGGGUCGGGCCAGGUUAGUACUUGGAGGGGAGACCACCUAGGAAGACCAGGUGCUGUAGGCG